AACGCACCCGAAACUAUUGGAUAGCUCGUCGAAAGACGGGGUAAUACGGUAUGUGAACGCAAGUUCAAAGUCGCAAGACGGUUCUGGAACGGCCCUAUUCCCAUCAGCUAGUUGGUAGGGUAAUGGCCUACCAAGGCGACGACGGGUAGGGGGUGUGAGAGCACGACCCCCCACAAUGGCACUGAGACACGGGCCAUACAUCUACGGAUGGCAGCAACUGGGAAUAUUCGGCAAUGGGCGAAAGCCUGACCGAGCGACACCGCGUGAGGGAUGAAGUAUCUCGGUAUGUAAACCUCUUUUAUAUAGCCGUCGAGGCUAUAAGAAUAAGCACCUACAAACUACGUGCCAGCAGUCGCGGUAAUACGUAGGGUGCAAGCGUUAUCCGGAUUCACUGGGCGUAAAGAGUCGUGUAGGUGGUAGACCACAU
RNAcentral lists this ribosomal RNA (427 nucleotides) under uncultured bacterium. RNAcentral's name for it is "bacterial SSU rRNA". It matches the Rfam family "Bacterial small subunit ribosomal RNA", at positions 123 to 588 of the family's 1533-position model. The record is from RNAcentral.